This 561-nucleotide ribosomal RNA is filed under the name Candida dubliniensis. Its description in RNAcentral is "eukaryotic LSU rRNA". It matches the Rfam family "Eukaryotic large subunit ribosomal RNA", at positions 48 to 625 of the family's 3401-position model. The record is from RNAcentral. Lineage: Eukaryota; Fungi; Ascomycota; Pichiomycetes; Serinales; Debaryomycetaceae.
AUACGGAGGAAAAGAAACCAACAGGGAUUGCCUCAGUAGCGGCGAGUGAAGCGGCAAAAGCUCAAAUUUGAAAUCUGGCGUCUUUGGCGUCCGAGUUGUAAUUUGAAGAAGGUAUCUUUGGGCCCGGCUCUUGUCUAUGUUCCUUGGAACAGGACGUCACAGAGGGUGAGAAUCCCGUGCGAUGAGAUGGCCCGGGUCUAUGUAAAGUUCCUUCGACGACUCGAGUUGUUUGGGAAUGCAGCUCUAAGUGGGUGGUAAAUUCCAUCUAAAGCUAAAUAUUGGCGAGAGACCGAUAGCGAACAAGUACAGUGAUGGAAAGAUGAAAAGAACUUUGAAAAGAGAGUGAAAAAGUACGUGAAAUUGUUGAAAGGGAAGGGCUUGAGAUCAGACUUGGUAUUUUGCAAGUUACUCUUUCGGGGGUGGCCUCUGCGGUUUACCGGGCCAGCAUCGGUUUGGAGCGGUAGGAUAAUGGCGGGGGAAUGUGGCACGACUUUGGUUGUGUGUUAUAGCCUCUGACGAUACUGCCAGCCUAGACCGAGACUGCGGUUUUUACCUAGGAUG